GAAGGCAGACACGACGAAGGACGGCGCAGAGGCGAGCCUUUGCGACGCGUGUGGCGCGACUCACGCGUGCCGCGACGAGGAGAAAUGCUGGAGCA
RNAcentral lists this small RNA (95 nucleotides) under Isochrysis galbana. Its description in RNAcentral is "partial Cyanobacteria transfer-messenger RNA". The record is from RNAcentral. Lineage: Eukaryota; Haptophyta; Isochrysidales; Isochrysidaceae.